UCUCAAUGCUUCACACAGGCAGGAUCCUGCAGCACUGACAGGAGCUAAGAUGCCCAGGGUGAGAGCUCCUGGACUCAAACCUUUUGCUCCUGACACAUUCCCCUCUUUUACAAUGGUAAGCGUAUAAUCUGCUUAGUGACUGCAGUGAUCUCAUAGAGGAUUUUAAAUGGGCUGGGCUGCAGGAAGACUCUGACCCAACAGUGUUUACUUUAGCCCAUCUGACGGAUUGCAAGUCCCCAUGAAGUAAUCCAGUUGGAGUGAAAUCCAGAUGGCUCCAAUCUCUUUUCCACUAAGGAGUUCAGUUAAUAUGUAAAAUUAAUAAGAAGGAACUCUUCCGGCCCAUGCUCUCCCAGUACUGCAAAGCAUCGUGGCAGGAAGUGAAGGACAAGAUUUUAGGUCAGGUCCCUGAUGCUAUUAAGGAGGUAUCCAGCUGGACCUGCUGGUGAUUCAUGCACCCAACAGCAGGAGAUGUGACUGAAUCAGGAUGGCAAGAAACAAAUGCAGAUACCAACGUGGGACUGGCACAUCCUUACACGUAACUUUUGGGUUCUGCAGGAAAGUGGAGGAUUCCAGGAAAGGUCCCACCGUUGCUGUCAUUUCCACAAAAAUACUUUGAAAAUUGAUACAUAAUCUCAUUAUUUAUGAAAGACUCUCUCACAAAUUCCUUUCUGUGUAAAACCAGUGUGUAAAACCAAUAUUUUCUUCUUUAAUCCCUUUGUAAGUUAUAAGAAAUCUGUUCUAUUUUAAAUGGCAGAAAGCACCUUUCAACACCAAGGCAGCAUGUAAGUCAAGCUCUCACCCUAGAUCAAGAAAUUACCAGCUGGCAGUGGAGGGAGCAUAACAACAAUUAAAGUCAACUCAUCACUCUCCUCAUCCUCCCUCACUUUCCUCCUUCAGCUGUCUCUGCAUUAAAGCUGGCAAAAUAUCGACAGCCAUUAGACAGCUGGCACACAGAGUCCUGUCACUUUAUCAUGCAGUAUUACAUGAGUCUAUAUGACAAAAAUGAAGAUACAAAUGUGUCAUCUGCUAAAACUGUAUUGUCAUUUUGUCUCCUAAUAAAUAAUGGUGGUUAAGGGGUAUUUUUACUUUGGUUACUAGUAUAUGUCAAAACACAUCACCACCUAUCCACUGCCAUGGUUACCCACAAGAAUGAACUCAAAUGUGAACAUGCCAUAAUCACAUCCAUUGUCUACUAUUCCUUGCACCUCUUCUAUCUGUUGGACUAUUCACUUAGUGACAUUUGAGAGGAGGAAAAGGAUCUUCAGCUUCUUGGUAUGGGCAUGUUUAGGGCCAUCCAUGAGAGCGAAGCAUCUUAUUGCUCCUGCAGUGUGAGCAAAGAGGGAUUAAUUAUGAGUUUCAGAACAUGGACAUGAAAAAAGCAACCAUGUGGGUUUGGAAAUACUGUCAAUAGGAAAAACCAAAACAAUUAAAAAAACCUUUAUCCUGCUGUGA
Long non-coding RNA from Gallus gallus (chicken), 1452 nucleotides. RefSeq lists it as uncharacterized. The transcript is spliced from 3 exons. The record is from RefSeq and is a predicted model, not a curated record. Lineage: Eukaryota; Metazoa; Chordata; Aves; Galliformes; Phasianidae.